Molecule: long non-coding RNA, 253 nt
Filed under: Linum usitatissimum (flax)
Lineage: Eukaryota; Viridiplantae; Streptophyta; Magnoliopsida; Malpighiales; Linaceae
Description: long non-coding RNA (LUSI_LNC007064)
Source: RNAcentral
CCGAAACUAAAGAAUAGAGAGUGGUCGUCGGCCAUACUUUCUGCGAGGUGACCAAGUCCCCAUAGGGGCCGUGCUACUUAUGUAGAUGGGCAGGACCCUAAAGGCCGGCCUGCCUAUGUACCACCUGCUCCAUUAGCGAUGAGCUUUUUUGGCAACGUUGAUGGUUUGGAACCCCCAAUUUCAUCCAUCUCCAUCAAGUUCGGGUGCUUCCCCAAUCCCCAUCUCUGUCUUGUCGUCCUACACAUGCCAUUCG